UUACGACCAUAUCACGUUGAGCCACCGGUUCCCGUACGAUAACCAAAGUUAAACAACGUCGAGCCUGGUCAGUACCUAGAAGGAUGAUCGCUUGGGAAUAACAGGUGCUGUAAG
Molecule: non-coding RNA, 114 nt
Organism: Acanthosepion pharaonis
Lineage: Eukaryota; Metazoa; Mollusca; Cephalopoda; Sepiida; Sepiidae
Source: the annotation of a GenBank genome assembly